RNAcentral lists this ribosomal RNA (532 nucleotides) under uncultured rumen bacterium. RNAcentral's name for it is "bacterial SSU rRNA". It matches the Rfam family "Bacterial small subunit ribosomal RNA", at positions 42 to 573 of the family's 1533-position model. The record is from RNAcentral.
GCGUGCUUAACACAUGCAAGUCGAACGAGAAUCACCGGAAGGAGUUUUCGGACAACGGAAGGUGAGGACAGUGGCGGACGGGUGAGUAACGCGUGAGGAACCUGCCUUUCAGAGGGGGACAACAGUUGGAAACGACUGCUAAUACCGCAUAACGCAUAGGUAUCGCAUGGUACUUAUGCCAAAGAUUUAUCGCUGAAAGAUGGCCUCGCGUCUGAUUAGCUGGUUGGUGAGGUAACGGCCCACCAAGGCGACGAUCAGUAGCCGGACUGAGAGGUUGACCGGCCACAUUGGGACUGAGAUACGGCCCAGACUCCUACGGGAGGCAGCAGUGGGGAAUAUUGGGCAAUGGGCGCAAGCCUGACCCAGCAACGCCGCGUGAAGGAAGAAGGCUUUCGGGUUGUAAACUUCUUUUGGCAGGGAAGAGGAGAAGACGGUACCUGCCGAAUAAGCCACGGCUAACUACGUGCCAGCAGCCGCGGUAAUACGUACGUGGCAAGCGUUGUCCGGAUUUACUGGGUGUAAAGGGCGUGUA